Molecule: transfer RNA, 71 nt
Filed under: Loxodonta africana (African savanna elephant)
Lineage: Eukaryota; Metazoa; Chordata; Mammalia; Proboscidea; Elephantidae
Rfam family: tRNA
About the family: Transfer RNA (tRNA) molecules are approximately 80 nucleotides in length. Their secondary structure includes four short double-helical elements and three loops (D, anti-codon, and T loops). Further hydrogen bonds mediate the characteristic L-shaped molecular structure. tRNAs have two regions of fundamental functional importance: the anti-codon, which is responsible for specific mRNA codon recognition, and the 3' end, to which the tRNAs corresponding amino acid is attached (by aminoacyl-tRNA synthetases). tRNAs cope with the degeneracy of the genetic code in two manners: having more than one tRNA (with a specific anti-codon) for a particular amino acid; and 'wobble' base-pairing, i.e. permitting non-standard base-pairing at the 3rd anti-codon position.
Source: Rfam by way of RNAcentral
ACAGUGGUGGUUCAGUCGUAGAAUUCUGGCCUUUCAUGCUGGAAACCCAGGUUCAAUUUCUGGUCAGUGCA